GGCCAGACUCCUACGGGAGGCAGCAGUGAGGAAUAUUGGUCAAUGGGCGAGAGCCUGAACCAGCCAAGUCGCGUGAGGGGGGACGGCCCUACGGGUUGGAAACCUCUUUUGCCGGGGGACAAACGGCGGCACGCGUGCCGUCCUGAGGGUACCCGGAGAAAAAGCAUCGGCUAACUCCGUGCCAGCAGCCGCGGUAAUACGGAGGAUGCGAGCGUUAUCCGGAUUUAUUGGGUUUAAAGGGUGCGUAGGCGGACGCUUAAGUCAGCGGUAAAAUGGCGGGGCUCAACCUCGGCGAGCCGUUGAAACUGGGUGCCUUGAGUGGGCGAGAAGUACGCGGAAUGCGUGGUGUAGCGGUGAAAUGCAUAGAUAUCACGCAGAACUCCGAUUGCGAAGGCAGCGCACCGGCGCCCUACUGACGCUCAGGCACGAAAGCGUGGGUAUCGAACAGGAUUAGAUACCCUCGUAU
RNAcentral lists this ribosomal RNA (466 nucleotides) under uncultured bacterium. Its description in RNAcentral is "bacterial SSU rRNA". It matches the Rfam family "Bacterial small subunit ribosomal RNA", at positions 329 to 793 of the family's 1533-position model. The record is from RNAcentral.